AACACAUGCAAGUCGAGCGGUAACAUUUCUAGCUUGCUGAAGAUGACGAGCGGCGGACGGGUGAGUAACGCGUAGGAAUCUGCCUAGGUAUCGGGGGACAACAUGUGGAAACGCAUGCUAAUACCGCAUACGCCCUACCGGGGGAAAGAGGGGAUCUUCGGACCUUUCGCUAUUAGAUGAGCCUGCGUGAGAUUAGCUAGUUGGUGGGGUAAAGGCCUACCAAGGCGACGAUCUCUAGCUGGUCUGAGAGGAUGAUCAGCCACACUGGGACUGAGACACGGCCCAGACUCCUACGGGAGGCAGCAGUGGGGAAUAUUGGACAAUGGGCGCAAGCCUGAUCCAGCCAUGCCGCGUGUGUGAAGAAGGCCUUAGGGUUGCAAAGCACUUUCAGGAGUGAGGAAGGGCGUGCAGUUAAUACCUGUACGUUUUGACGUUAACUCCAGAAGAAGCACCGGCUAACUCUGUG
Molecule: ribosomal RNA, 466 nt
Filed under: uncultured bacterium
Lineage: Bacteria
Description: bacterial SSU rRNA
Rfam family: Bacterial small subunit ribosomal RNA
Source: RNAcentral